Molecule: ribosomal RNA, 1477 nt
Filed under: metagenome
Description: bacterial SSU rRNA
Rfam family: Bacterial small subunit ribosomal RNA
Source: RNAcentral
AGAGUUUGAUCCUGGCUCAGGAUGAACGCAAGCGGCAGGCCUAACACAUGCAAGUCGAACGGUAAGGUCCUUUCGGGGAUACACGAGUGGCGCACGGGUGAGUAACGCGUAUGCAACCUACCUUUAACUGGGGCAUAGCUCAGAGAAAUCUGAAUUAAUACCCCAUAAUAUCCUUUUUUCGCAUGUUAAGAGGAUUAAAGCUCCGGCGGUUAUAGAUGGGCAUGCGUAACAUUAGUUUGUUGGUGAGGUAACGGCUCACCAAGACUACGAUGUUUAGGGGGUCUGAGAGGAUGGUCCCCCACACUGGUACUGAGACACGGAUCAGACUCCUACGGGAGGCAGCAGUGAGGAAUAUUGGUCAAUGGACGCAAGUCUGAACCAGCCAUGCCGCGUGCAGGAUGACGGCCCUAUGGGUUGUAAACUGCUUUUAUACAGGAAGAACUCCUCCGAUUCUUCGGAGACUGACUGUACUGUAUGAAUAAGGAUCGGCUAACUCCGUGCCAGCAGCCGCGGUAAUACGGAGGAUCCUAGUGUUAUCCGGAUUAUUGGGUUUAAAGGGUGCGUAGGCGGGAUAAUAAGUCAGUGGUGAAAUCCUGCAGCUUAACUGUAGAACUGCCAUUGAUACUGUUAUUCUUGAGUAUAGUUGAGGUGGGCGGAAUGUGUCAUGUAGCGGUGAAAUGCUUAGAUAUGACACAGAACACCAAUUGCGUAGGCAGCUCGCUAAACUACUACUGACGUUGAGGCACGAAAGCGUGGGGAGCGAACAGGAUUAGAUACCCUGGUAGUCCACGCUGUAAACGAUGAUUACUCGAUGUGUGCGAUACAUUGUACGCGUCUGAGCGAAAGCAUUAAGUAAUCCACCUGGGGAGUACGAUCGCAAGAUUGAAACUCAAAGGAAUUGACGGGGGCCCGCACAAGCGGAGGAACAUGUGGUUUAAUUCGAUGAUACGCGAGGAACCUUACCUGGGCUUAAAUGCAGAAUGACCUUCCGGGAAACCGGAAUUCCCUUCGGGGCAAUUUGCAAGGUGCUGCAUGGUUGUCGUCAGCUCGUGCCGUGAGGUGUCGGGUUAAGUCCCAUAACGAGCGCAACCCUUGUCAUUAGUUGCCAGCGGAUAAUGCCGGGGACUCUAAUGAGACUGCCAGUGUAAACUGCGAGGAAGGUGGGGAUGACGUCAAAUCAGCACGGCCCUUAUGUCCAGGGCUACACACGUGUUACAAUGGCCAUUACAGAGGGCAGCUACAUGGUGACAUGAUGCAAAUCUCGAAAAAUGGUCUCAGUUCGGAUCGAAGUCUGCAAUUCGACUUCGUGAAGAUGGAUUCGCUAGUAAUCGCACAUCAGCAAUGGUGCGGUGAAUUCGUUCCCGGGCCUUGUACACACCGCCCGUCAAGCCAUGGAAGCCGGGGGUGCCUGAAGUCCGUAGCCGUAAGGAGCGGCCUAGGGUAAAACUGGUAACUGGGGCUAAGUCGAAACAAGGUA